Molecule: ribosomal RNA, 470 nt
Filed under: Chilodonella piscicola
Lineage: Eukaryota; Ciliophora; Phyllopharyngea; Chlamydodontida; Chilodonellidae
Also listed under: 1 other name
Description: SSU rRNA
Rfam family: Bacterial small subunit ribosomal RNA
Source: RNAcentral
UAUUUAAUGAAAAUAAAGUAAUUGUUAUAUUUUAUGUUUAUGUAUGAAAGUAUAGGAACUGAAAAGGAUUAGUGACCCUUGUAAACUAUACUGUAAAAUAUAGGUAUUAACAGAUGAAAGUUUUUUGUAAAGCUAACGCGUAAAUACCUUACCUGGGUAGUACAACCGCAAGGUUUAAACUUAAAAAAAUUGGCGGGACCUAAUUUAAUGGUGGAGCAUGUGAUUUAAUUCGGUAAUCCUCGCAAAACCUUACUAACAUUCUAAUAAUUUUUGUUUUUAUUUGAUAUAUAAUAAAUUUAAAUUAUUUUGAGUACUGCAUGGCUGUCGUCAGUUCGAAUUGUGAAACGUAAAAUUAAGUUUUAAUAGCGAACGCAACCCUAACUUUAUUAUAAUGUUAUUAACCAUUAAUUUGGUUAAUUUAGGAUGAGGGCAAGUCUUUACGAUCUUUAAAUGUUAGGCUAUCCAUUUGU